Rhinopithecus roxellana (golden snub-nosed monkey) is the source of this 416-nucleotide long non-coding RNA. RefSeq lists it as uncharacterized. The transcript is spliced from 3 exons. The record is from RefSeq and is a predicted model, not a curated record. NCBI's taxonomy places the organism in Eukaryota, Metazoa, Chordata, Mammalia, Primates, Cercopithecidae.
CUCCUCAGGGGCAGACCCUGGAACCACUGGGUUCAUACUGCCUGACAUCAACAACUGUACAGUCACAUCAACAACUGACAGAGCGUGCUGUCUGUAGCAGGAAGGCAAGGAGAAGUGAUCCCAGCCUCCAGAUGGAAAGAUCAAAGCCCAGAGAAGAGUCCUGAGUUGCUGCCCCAUCAACCAACCCGGACAACUCCCAAGAUCUCAGCCCAAGCCAGGCUGACAGUGUUGGCUUUGUACUUGCUUCCUGGAACACACCUGGCCUCAGACUCCUGAGGCCAAGAUACACUCCCUGCCAGCCACUCUGCCAUGGCUUGCCAGCUCUCCUCACCCAGGGACAACAGUGGUCAUCUGUCCACACCAGCCAGGUUCGUCAGGCCUCCGGGAGCUGCUUGAAUCCUUCCACAAUCUUGGGU